GACGAACGCUGGCGGCGUGCUUAACACAUGCAAGUCGAACGGUGAAGGGAUCAGCUUGCUGGUCCUGGAUGAGUGGCGAACGGGUGAGUAACACGUGAGUAACCUGCCCCCUUCUUCUGGAUAACCGCAUGAAAGUGUGGCUAAUACGGGAUAUUCUGGGUCUGUCGCAUGAUGGGUCUGGGAAAGAUAUUGUUUCGGUGGGGGAUGGGCUCGCGGCCUAUCAGCUUGUUGGUGGGGUGAUGGCCUGCCAAGGCGGUGACGGGUAGCCGGCCGGAGCGGGGGGUCGCUGAUAUGGGAGGUGGGACAGGGACAUGGCGACUACGGGACGCAGCAGUCUGGUACAGUACGCAGUGGUCGGGAGUCUGGCGCAGCGGCGGCGCGUGAGAGAUGGCCACGUUGGGUGUGUGAUCCUGGUUCGAGAGUGGUACAGGUCUGCUACUUGUGAGGGGGUUGACGGUACCUGGAGAAGAAGCGCCGGCUAACUACGUG
RNAcentral lists this ribosomal RNA (489 nucleotides) under uncultured bacterium. RNAcentral's name for it is "partial 16S ribosomal RNA". It matches the Rfam family "Bacterial small subunit ribosomal RNA", at positions 28 to 507 of the family's 1533-position model. The record is from RNAcentral.